RNAcentral lists this ribosomal RNA (257 nucleotides) under uncultured prokaryote. RNAcentral describes it as "partial 16S ribosomal RNA". It matches the Rfam family "Bacterial small subunit ribosomal RNA", at positions 524 to 780 of the family's 1533-position model. The record is from RNAcentral.
UACAUAGGUGGCAAGCGUUAUCCGGAAUUAUUGGGCGUAAAGAGCGCGCAGGUGGUUGAUUAAGUCUGAUGUGAAAGCCCACGGCUCAACCGUGGAAGGUCAUUGGAAACUGGGUCACUUGAAUAUAGAAGAGGAAAGUGGAAUUCCAUGUGUAGCGGUGAAAUGCGUAGAUAUAUGGAGGAACACCAGUGGCGAAGGCGACUUUCUGGUCUAUUAUUGACGCUGAGGCUCGAAAGCAUGGGUAGCAAACAGGAUUA